UUAUCAGACUUGUUGCAAGGUUGUUCCAACAAGUCUGAUACAGUCAUGAUAUAACAAGAAUGUUACAACCUUGUGUCAUCAACCCUUGUAACAUUCUUGCUAUAUCAUGACUGUAUCAGACUUGUUAGAACAACUUUGCUACAAGUCUGAUAA
Molecule: microRNA precursor, 153 nt
Filed under: Paramuricea clavata
Lineage: Eukaryota; Metazoa; Cnidaria; Anthozoa; Malacalcyonacea; Plexauridae
Source: RNAcentral